GCCGGUCCGACGCCCCGAGACCGGAUCCCGUCCCGGUCUUGGGGCGUUGCGCUUCAUUCAAGUCAUUGAAAGUGCUUGGAAAAGUACUGAUCGCCCCACGAAUGGAUUUCAUUCGUGAAUGAAAGGAACAUGAAAGGGUGAACAGUGUGUGUGGCGCGGAUCGCCUUUUCACAGGUUAAGACUGUGUUAGCAUCCGUUCCCUAAUUUGGCUGCUGCCCCUUACAGGUACCAAAAAAAUGAUCAAGCAGCGUACGCUCAAGAACAUCAUUCGCGCCACAGGCGUCGGUCUGCAUACCGGCGACAAGGUGU
This 309-nucleotide small RNA is filed under the name Dyella sp. AD56. RNAcentral describes it as "Xoo8". Lineage: Bacteria; Pseudomonadati; Pseudomonadota; Gammaproteobacteria; Lysobacterales; Rhodanobacteraceae. The record is from RNAcentral.